Molecule: non-coding RNA, 148 nt
Filed under: Pan paniscus (pygmy chimpanzee)
Lineage: Eukaryota; Metazoa; Chordata; Mammalia; Primates; Hominidae
Also listed under: 1 other name
Source: Rfam by way of RNAcentral
GCUGGGCAUGGUGGUGCAUGCCUGUAAUCCCAGCUACUCUGGAGGCUGAGGCAGCAGAAUCACUUGAACCCAGGAGAUGGAGGUUGCAGUGAGCCAAGAUCGCGCCACUGCACUCCAACCUGGGUGACAGAGCAAGACUCUGUCUCUA